This 72-nucleotide transfer RNA is filed under the name Melampsora larici-populina 98AG31. RNAcentral's name for it is "tRNA-Ala (AGC) (tRNA-Ala-AGC-1 1 to 5)". It matches the Rfam family "tRNA". From Rfam's summary of the family: Transfer RNA (tRNA) molecules are approximately 80 nucleotides in length. Their secondary structure includes four short double-helical elements and three loops (D, anti-codon, and T loops). RNAcentral also lists the same sequence under 4 other names. The record is from Rfam by way of RNAcentral. Lineage: Eukaryota; Fungi; Basidiomycota; Pucciniomycetes; Pucciniales; Melampsoraceae.
GGGGUUCUAGCUCAUCGGUAGAGCGCUCGCUUAGCAUGCGAGAGGCGCUGGGUUCGAUUCCCAGGUACUCCA